GACGAACCGUGCGAACGUUGUUCGGAAUCACUGGGCUUAAAGGGCGCGUAGGCGGGCAUUCAAGUCGGUGGUGAAAUCCUCCAGCUUAACUGGAGAAGAGCUGUCGAUACUGGAUGUCUCGAGGGGUGCAGGGGUCUGCGGAACUUCGGGUGGAGCGGUGAAAUGCGUAGAGAUCCGAAGGAACGCCGGUGGCGAAAGCGGCGGACUGGGCACCUUCUGACGCUGGAGGCGCGGAA
Molecule: ribosomal RNA, 236 nt
Filed under: uncultured bacterium
Lineage: Bacteria
Description: partial 16S ribosomal RNA
Rfam family: Bacterial small subunit ribosomal RNA
Source: RNAcentral